RNAcentral lists this ribosomal RNA (304 nucleotides) under uncultured bacterium. RNAcentral's name for it is "partial 16S ribosomal RNA". It matches the Rfam family "Bacterial small subunit ribosomal RNA", at positions 509 to 807 of the family's 1533-position model. The record is from RNAcentral.
CAGCAGUCGCCGCGGGAAUACGUAGGUGGCGAGCGUUGUCCGGAAUUAUUGGGCGUAAGGGGCUCGCAGGCGGUUUCUUAAGUCUGAUGUGAAAGCCCCCGGCUCAACCGGGGAGGGUCAUUGGAAACUGGGAAACUUGAGUGCAGAAGAGGAGAGUGGAAUUCCACGUGAAGCGGUGAAAUGCGUAGAGAUGUGGAGGAACACCAGUGGCGAAGGCGACUCUCUGGUCUGUAACUGACGCUGAGGAGCGAAAGCGUGGGGAGCGAACAGGAUUAGAUACCCGUGUAGUCCCUGUCUCUUAUAC